RNAcentral lists this long non-coding RNA (3668 nucleotides) under Musa acuminata (dwarf banana). RNAcentral's name for it is "long non-coding RNA (MACU_LNC003620)". The record is from RNAcentral. Lineage: Eukaryota; Viridiplantae; Streptophyta; Magnoliopsida; Zingiberales; Musaceae.
AGAAUAUUGUGCCAGUGUCCUUGACUCGUGGGCUUUGGUUUGAGGAUCAGGAUGGGUUCUUGCUCUUGCACAUUGUUUCUUAGUUCUCGAUUUGUGUCUUGAUGCCUAAGACCAAAAGUUCUAUCAUUUGCACAAAGCAACAUAGCUGAUAUCGGUAGAGAUACCGGGAAAUCAUUGAUUUGUUAUAGUCUUGGUUCACAGAUUGCACAAGAAACAUGAUCUUAACUAGAACACAAUUUAUGCUGUGCAGGUACAUAUAUCUUGGGUUAUUCGACAGCGAAAUAGAAGCUGCAAGGUCCCGAGCAUGGAUUUCUUCAUCGUCGAUGAUGCUCUAAUUAUUAAUUUUAAUUUCAUCAGGGUUCGGUACCAACACCAAUUUCCUGUUUCUCUUUGUUGUUCUUCUACAUCAGGGCUUAUGACAAGGCAGCAAUAAAGUAUAAUGGAAGGGAUGCUGUUACCAAUUUUGAGCCAAGUACCUAUGAAGGAGAACUACUUUUUGAGGGUGAUACUGAAGGUGCAGUUCGCAUAUUUGAGUCUCUCUCUAACAUCAAAUUCAAGAUGUGUUGUUCUGAAUCAAUUGCAUGGUUCUUUGAGAAAAAUUCAUUAUCUGAGUUCAAAUAUUUGAUUGGUUGCAGGUCAUGAUGUGGAUCUGAGUUUGAGGAUUUCUCAAUCUGUCGUCCAAGGUCCAAAGGGAUAUCAAAAUUCAUCAAAUAGCCAGUUUGAAGCUUCUGAUUGCAACAUAGCAAAGGUAAUCAGUUUGCUAUAUUCUGAUAUUUUGUUAUUCCUUCUCACAAUUGGACUUAUUGCCAGUCUGUUCCUUCCUGAAUAAUCCCCUGAUAGACCUUGUUUUAUUGGAAGCAUUGGCAUGCCAUAUUUUCCUUUGGUGGUCGAUUUCUUUUUCCUGCAAUGUCAUGCAUACUCUAAUGUGUACUUGUUCCCAGUCCCACUUGAUGAUUCCAUGGAUUGUGUUGUUUAUGACAUGUCCGAGUCCAUUUCUACUUUAUUGUGCCUCACUGCUAACUAUUAGUUUUGGACUCGAAAGAAAUUACACAUUGACCAACUGUAAGAAUUCUUCUUUACUCUAGUACUAUACUGCUGCUCAGAUAUAUACACUACGUGCCUCAACCGUGCCCCCUGAGCACUCUCAUGCCUAGACAUUUCGAUCUAAUGCGUUUUGCCAUGAUCGUCUCUCGGAAAAUGCUACGUUAAGUUGCAAAUUAUUUUGACAGAACAAAUUUCCACUGUGAUUGGCCCACUCGUGGAAAUACCAAUUUUACAAACACCUGAUUUGGUUGGUCCUUUGGGAAUAAUUUAUGGCAAAUUUGAUUUAGAUGGUCUGCUGUCACUCCGUUGGAUACUUGUUCUUGCUGAUAUGGUCUCAUAAUACACUGUUUGAUUGGUUUAUCAUGCCCAGUUGAUCUCACAGUAGUUUCUGUCUGCGAAUGCAGGAGAACGAGAGUGAGAAGAGGACCGCGGUUGGCUUGCAAGCUCUCCCAAUCUGGAAUUGGCCGACAAAUGGACAUUGUCCAUUUCCACUGUUCUCUUCUGCAGCAUCAUCAGGAUUCUCACCUACCACAGUGACAGCUGCUCUUCCUCCCCUGAAGCCACCACCUCCAACAACCCAUCAUGUUCAUUUCUCUCCCCGAGCUACAUCAAAUUACCGUUUCAUGAAUCCAAAUCAGUAACACUCCAACGAGGUGCCAAAAUGUUACACACAUGAACCAUCUUUAGGGCAGGGCAGGUCCCGGGGGGGGGGGGGGGGGGGCGGUAGCCAGUCGCAAAGAAGUAAUACUUGGUGAACCAUCGUGUGGUCUACCCCUGUAUCAUUUUAUCGUGUUCUUCAGGUUCUUUCCUCUUCACCGCGGAGCUAGAACAGUCGAACUUUAUUCUGGGCUUUCGGUCAUCCCUUCGUCUACAUGUACUGUUCAUGAUCCGCACUAGUAAGUUCUUCUGAAACCGUGAAAUGUGGUUCAAAAUCAUUUUGACUGUCUUGUUUCUUUGGUGAGUAUACAUUUAAGUGCAACAACGGAUCCUUCAUGUGGAUAUAUAGUACAUCUCCGGAUCUGUUGCUAAUCUCCUUAGUGUUGAUAGCCCAAUCACCCGGUCUCUCAUUUGCUUCCGUGCGUGACUCUUGAGAAUGAUGCGAUAAGGAGAAGACGGGUAGUGGUUGACUUGCUGUCUCAAUGAAGGUAGGCUUGGCGACGCAUGAAUCACGUGUACGCUCCUCCACCAAGUCUUCUUAUUUGCCCAUCAAAUGCUACGACUUUUGACUUCAAAUUUUCGAGCCUGGAAUGAUUCAGGUCGCGAGUCCCAAGUUUUCUGAUAAUAUCUCCUAUCCAUAAAACAGAGUGCAAACGUCUAACGAGUCUAAAUUAAGAUCAUAUCUUAUUAUUGUCAGAGUGAAAGAAGGACCACCUCAGUCUGACCAGACCACGCUUAUAAAAAAAGAAUAUUUUUUUUGAAUAAUAUUAAACAAUAUUGUAGUUAUUAUCGUUAAUUAUUUCAGAUUGACCACUUCUCAGAUCAGCGUAUACAAAAACAAUUUCCAUAGACCGUCUCGUGGCAAGAGCCGAUCUUGUUGGUCUCUUACCACUCUUCAUCUAUAGUUAGGCAGUCUUGGGGGCGAAGGCCGAAACUGUGGGCGAUAGGCUUUUGCGUAUACAAUAUGUCGCCAGGUUUCCUUCUCUGUAACCUCAGCUGCAGCUGCAGCUGCAGAGGAUAGAUUGCAUGAUCUUCUUUCAAGGAAUCAGAAGGUUGCCGUCGCAUUCACACAUGAAUUCGCUUCUGUCACCUUCUUAGCCAUCGUCUUCUUCAUAACCCUCAUUUUCCUCCUCCUUUCCCAGUUGGAAGCAAGCAAAGAGUGAGUAUAUAUUCUCAGAAACCAGAAUGAUGGACAGCGGAGGAAGAGCAAAAGACACAGUAGCAUAGCAGCUGAGCUGACUCUAUUCCAGUGACAGAGACCUAAUUUACAGAGCUCCACUCAUCUAACGCAAACACUCAUCUUGGUUUGUUCCUAUAUUACAGAGCAGGAGGAAGCAGCUACGGGAAUCGAAGGAGUUCCAAUCAGAUGGAAGGAACAGAUGCCAAGCAACCAUACAAGUAUUAGCCAGAUGCACGAGGACGCGUCGAUGUCGCAGCUCCGCCUUCCCGUUCACCGCUCCCAGAUAUGCUCCCCUUCCAGGUGGAGUAGAUGGCGGAGGUCAUGGAAGACCAUGAAUCCUUCAGUUCCGUAGCGAUCUGCUUCUUGAUGCUGCCCCUUGGUGGUGGGCACAAGUUCCCUCUUCCCCUCCUCUCCUGCUUGCCGGCGUCUUGGUGGCUCUUCAUCUCUUCCGUAACAGAGAGAGAGAGAGAGAGAGAGAGAGAGAGUGCGCGUUGUCGCUGGAGCGAUAGGCAACCGGAUAUAUAGAGGUGUGUCAGAAGAGUAGCCGACAUACGUCAUUGAAACGUGUGUUAGUAUUAGGAAAAAUAUUGUUAAAAAAAUAAAUUAUGAUAAAAUUAUGAUUUUUAAAUUAUAAAAAUUAUGAUAUUAUCAUAAAUCUAUCAAUAAUAAAGAUAAUGAUCUCAACAUGAUUUGAUGAAAUAAUUUAGAUAAAUAUUUUAUAUUAUAAAAAUAUAUAAUUAUCAUAAUAUCUUUUUGUGGAUAUAAAUUCAUACCUAAUAUUCAUAAA